RNAcentral lists this ribosomal RNA (255 nucleotides) under uncultured fungus. RNAcentral describes it as "partial small subunit ribosomal RNA". It matches the Rfam family "Eukaryotic small subunit ribosomal RNA", at positions 1313 to 1591 of the family's 1831-position model. Lineage: Eukaryota; Fungi. The record is from RNAcentral.
CUUGCUUAAUUGCGAUAACGAACGAGACCUUAACCUACUAAAUAGCCCGGCCCGCUUUUGCGGGUCGCUGGCUUCUUUGAGGGACUAUCGGCUCAAGCCGAUGGAAGUUUGAGGCAAUAACAGGUCUGUGAUGCCCUUAGAUGUUCUGGGCCGCACGCGCGCUACACUGACGGAGCCAACGAGUAUCUCUCCUUAGCCGGAAGGCUUGGGUAAUCUUGUUAAACUCCGUCGUGCUGGGGAUAGAGCAUUGCAAUC